GAUGAACGCUGGCGGCGUGCUUAACACAUGCAAGUCGAACGAUGAAGCCCAGCUUGCUGGGUGGAUUAGUGGCGAACGGGUGAGUAACACGUGAGUAACCUGCCCUUAACUCUGGGAUAGGCCUGGGAAACUGGGUCUAAUACCGGAUAGGAGCGUCCACCGCAUGGUGGGUGUUGAAAAGAUUUAUCGGUUUUGGAUGGACUCGCGGCCUAUCAGCUUGUUGGUGAGGUAAUGGCUCACCAAGGCGACGACGGGUGGCCGGCCUGAGAGGGUGACCGGCCACACUGGGACUGAGACACGGCCCAGACUCCUACGGGAGGCAGCAGUGGGGAAUAUUGCACAAUGGGCGCAAGCCUGAUGCAGCGACGCCGCGUGAGGGAUGACGGCCUUCGGGUUGUAAACCUCUUUCAGUAGGGAAGAAGCGAAAGUGACGGUACCUGCAGAAGAAGCACCGGCUAACUACGUG
Molecule: ribosomal RNA, 466 nt
Filed under: uncultured bacterium
Lineage: Bacteria
Description: partial 16S ribosomal RNA
Rfam family: Bacterial small subunit ribosomal RNA
Source: RNAcentral